Molecule: long non-coding RNA, 547 nt
Organism: Chinchilla lanigera (long-tailed chinchilla)
Lineage: Eukaryota; Metazoa; Chordata; Mammalia; Rodentia; Chinchillidae
Source: Ensembl
GGGACAUUUUCUGUUACAUUUCUCCCCUCUUUUGGUUUUUUGGUAAAUCUUUGCUGAGCACAUUAUAUGUGAUCUUCUGAGGUAAAUCAGUGAGUCCACACUACCUGAGAUCCUGUCCUGCGCAUCCCGAUGGAUGGACCUCUGACCAGACUGGGCGUGCUCUUCUUCACCCGCAGCGUCUGUUCUUAGCACCCAUUGUGGAACCAUCAGACAGCUGCUCCUUGCUUCCCCGAGGAAGAGCUGCUCUUCCAGCUAAACUCACUCAGGAUCCUGACCCCAGCUUCUGCUCUCCAUCCCGAGGCGGGGGCAGACAAGGACCGAGGGGCUGGGACACUGUGGGGGUCACACAGGUGCUGCUUUUCCCCACGAGGUGAGCUGUGCCCUCUCUUUCCGCCUGAGUUGGCUGGCAGCGAGGACAAAGGAUGUCAAUGUCCCCGACCUCAGUGGACGGAAUCUUGAAGCCAGCUUCCCCUGUUCUCUGAGAUGCCACAAAAUAGCCAGCACACAAAGUUUCUAAUAAAACAAUAUAAGAUAUGAGGUCAAGAAC